This 323-nucleotide long non-coding RNA is filed under the name Medicago truncatula (barrel medic). RNAcentral describes it as "long non-coding RNA (MTRU_LNC005588)". The record is from RNAcentral. Lineage: Eukaryota; Viridiplantae; Streptophyta; Magnoliopsida; Fabales; Fabaceae.
ACCAACGACGUCAUUGGAAUUGAUCGCGGUUUCUUUGAGAUCUGCAUCGCUGUUAACUUCUGGAUCGGGUCUUGAUCCAGAUUCCGGUUCCAAUUGUACUUGUUCUUGUGAUUCUGGUUGUUCCGGUUCGGUUUCUGGUUGAGGAUCAGGUUCGUGAUUCGAAUUGGAUUCAGGUUCGGGUGCUCCGUUCUGAGAUUGUGGUUCGGGUGAUGGUUGAGAUUCGUUUUGAGAUUCUGGUUCGGACAUUUUGAAGUGUUAGGGUUUUGGAGGAAGAAGUUUCGAUCGGAUCAGACUCGCAAACACAGUAGACGCGUGGAGGAAAU